Molecule: long non-coding RNA, 1679 nt
Filed under: Venturia canescens
Lineage: Eukaryota; Metazoa; Arthropoda; Insecta; Hymenoptera; Ichneumonidae
Description: uncharacterized LOC122415541
Source: RNAcentral
UUAUAUUUCGAGUUCCUUGUUUUGUUUUCUUGUUGUUCUAAUAAUUGAAAUUGUGCCUCACAUUGUACGAACUUUUGAGAAUAUAUUCUCGUCAGUAUAAUCAAUAUGCCGGACACGAACGACGAUACAGAAAAUCCAGCAAACCUUGCCGUUCAGGAGAUCGGGGCAACUCUCUUGAAAUUAAAAAAAUUAUUAGAAGAAAGUGUCUCGUUGCGUGUCGAGUGCGCGAAAUUGGAAUUCGACAUGUUGACUUUGUAUCAACCAAUAUGUCCCGAAGAGCUAGAGGGCUUGCAAGACGAUCGAGAGAACAUCAAAAUUCCAGAAACUACUACGGAAGCUAAUAACGACACAAACAAUCAGAAUAUCCCGUAAUAUUUACGCAAUAUCGAUAAUUACAUGGAAAACACUGCCGAUCUGAUUUCGAAUCUGAUUGAAUAAAUGAAUUAUUAAUAUUUUCUAAAAUCAAUUCAAUCAAAUUAUCUUCAUAUUCAUUAACUCUUAAUCGUGAUAUUUCGAUGAUCCGCAACAUACUGCAUCAGUCUUAACUGCCAAAAAUAUUUUUUUGGCAGUUCCUGUGGAAAAAUCUCACAAAUGCAUUUUUUUCAACAGAAUCAAUUUCGUUAUUAAUGCAGUGAUAAAUUUCGAAAUUCAAAUUUCGUCGCAUUCAGGCCAUUUUUAUUGAAUCCAUUCUCGUUCGAUUUAGUCUACAUUGAACAUUAAUAAACUAAAAUCAGUACCAAUGAAAACGCUUUUUGUAGAGGCUUUGAAUUCUCAAUUCACGCAACUGUUAUAAAAAAUAUACCGAACUUCAGAAUUAUGAUCCAGUCACGUUUCUUCAUGCUCUUCUGCGUCCCAUUAGAAAAAUCAAUAAAUUUAAAUACACAAAAAUAUAGUUAAAGUGUGUGUUUUGUCUAAAAAAUCAUUAGGUCCGUUCGAGGAGUCCGUUGAGCAUUGUUCACCCAUCGAUAAUCAAUAUUUUUUCAGCUAGUUAAUCACAAAUAAAAGUAGAAAACAGAAAAAUCAUUAACAAUGAAUAUAUUAUAUCAUAAAUGUAUACAAUUAUAGUAUCGCUUAGAUGCUACCAUUUAUACAUUCAGGUACACACUGUACGGAUUUAAGCGUUUAUACGAUUACAGGUAUGAGAGUUAUAAUUUUCAUUUCAAUUCUUUUUCGCUUCUUUAAUCUUUUUCUCCCAAUAUCUCACCAUCGAGUCUCCUGCUGCGACGUAGAAUAUAUAAUUAACAUCAUACAAUAAUUACGAUGAUAAAGAGAGGAUAUAUUAUCUGGACAAAUAUCCCAAAAUCUGUCUUUUUUUUUGUAUUUUUUUUUUCUUUUCUUUUACUUUCUGACAUCAUAAAUAAAUAAAUGCCUGAUUUAAAAGUGCGAAGUGAUGACGACGUUAUAAGAUAAUUUCUGGAUAGUCGGCUCUGUUCUUUUUUUUUUCUCACCUUGUAAUCGUUUGUUUCGAAUACAAGGUCACGUGUCUCAGUCGUUUCGAGGAUUUUUUUCCCGAACUGUCAUUACGACGAUAAAACGCUUCUUUCGCACUAAUAUUUUUUUUUCCCUACUCGCUAUUCGUUUUGAAGACGGAAGAUUUUCUCAUUCAAGAUGUCUUUUGUUUUCUUUUCUUUUCUAUUUUGAAUACCAUUUUUUGUUUCGAUUAAACGAGCGUUUAAACG